RNAcentral lists this transfer RNA (72 nucleotides) under Verrucomicrobiota bacterium. RNAcentral describes it as "Verrucomicrobia bacterium (rhizosphere metagenome) tRNA-Val". It matches the Rfam family "tRNA". From Rfam's summary of the family: Transfer RNA (tRNA) molecules are approximately 80 nucleotides in length. Their secondary structure includes four short double-helical elements and three loops (D, anti-codon, and T loops). RNAcentral also lists the same sequence under 2 other names. Lineage: Bacteria; Pseudomonadati; Verrucomicrobiota. The record is from RNAcentral.
GCGCGAUUAGCUCAGUGGUAGAGCGCUUGCUUCACACGCAAGAAGUCGCAGGUUCGAAUCCUGCAUCGCGCA